Molecule: ribosomal RNA, 301 nt
Filed under: uncultured bacterium
Lineage: Bacteria
Description: partial 16S ribosomal RNA
Rfam family: Bacterial small subunit ribosomal RNA
Source: RNAcentral
CAGCAGCCACGGUAAUACGUAGGGUGCAAGCGUUAAUCGGAAUUACUGGGCGUAAAGCGUGCGCAGGCGGUUUGUUAAGACAGAUGUGAAAUCCCCGGGCUCAACCUGGGAACUGCAUUUGUGACUGGCAAGCUAGAGUCUGGCAGAGGGGGGUGGAAUUCCGCGUGUAGCGGUGAAAUGCGUAGAUAUGCGGAGGAACACCGAUGGCGAAGGCAGCCCCCUGGGCCAACACUGACGCUUAUGCACGAAAGCGUGGGGAGCAAACAGGAUUAGAGACCCCUGUAGUCCCUGUCUCUUAUAC